CGAGAGAGUUUGAAAAACUCCCCAAACCCAUUGUGAACAUACCUGUUUGUUUGCUUCGGCAGGCGGUCCCCGGGGGGACCUCUCGCCCGCUCUCGGGCGGGUGCCUGCCGCAAGGCCACUAUACAAACUCUGCUGUAUCUGUUAUCUGAGAAUAAAAACCCGCUGAGAAGCGGUGUAAAUCAGUCA
RNAcentral lists this unclassified non-coding RNA (186 nucleotides) under uncultured fungus. RNAcentral's name for it is "sequence contains ITS1". Lineage: Eukaryota; Fungi. The record is from RNAcentral.